GCUUGUCUCAAAGAUUAAGCCAUGCAUGUCUAAGUAUAAACAACUUUAUACAGUGAAACUGCAGAUGGCUCAUUAAAUCAGUUAUAAUUUAUUUGAUGAUUAACUUUACUACAUGGAUAACCGUAGUAAUUCUAGAGCUAAUACAUGCGAAAAGUCCUGACUUCUUCGUGAGGGAGGGAUGUAUUUAUUAGAUACAAUCAAACGCACCAACAUAAAACCUUGGUGAUUCAUAAUAACUGUUCGGAUCGUAUGGCUUUUUGCCGACGACAGAUCAUUCAAAUUUCUGCCCUAUCAGCUUUCGACGGUACUGUAGUGGACUACCGUGGCAUUAACGGGUGACGGAGAAUUAGGGUUCGAUUCCGGAGAGGGAGCCUGAGAAAUGGCUACCACAUCCAAGGAAGGCAGCAGG
This 409-nucleotide ribosomal RNA is filed under the name uncultured eukaryote. RNAcentral describes it as "partial small subunit ribosomal RNA". It matches the Rfam family "Eukaryotic small subunit ribosomal RNA", at positions 30 to 432 of the family's 1831-position model. The record is from RNAcentral.